This 852-nucleotide ribosomal RNA is filed under the name Parafuscosporella aquatica. Its description in RNAcentral is "Parafuscosporella sp. HY-2019a partial large subunit ribosomal RNA". It matches the Rfam family "Eukaryotic large subunit ribosomal RNA", at positions 74 to 948 of the family's 3401-position model. The record is from RNAcentral. Lineage: Eukaryota; Fungi; Ascomycota; Sordariomycetes; Fuscosporellales; Fuscosporellaceae.
AUUGCCUCAGUAGCGGCGAGCGAAGCGGCAACAGCCCAGAUUUGAAAUCUGUCCCGUAAGGGUCCGACUUGUAAUCUGCAGAUGGUGCUUCCCGGGGGCACGCGUGUCGCCCAAGUGUACCUGGAACGGUUCGCCGUAGAGGGUGAGAGCCCCGUACGGCGGCACCGAGCCUCCUCCAGCGAAGCUCAUUCGGAGAGUCGAGCAGUUUGGGAAUGCUGCUCUAAAGGGAGGUAAAUCCCUUCCAAGGCUAAAUACCUGCCGGAGACCGAUAGCGCAGAAGUAGCGCGAGCGAAAGGUGAAUAGAACUCUGAAAAGAGAGUUAAAGCAUGUGAAAUCGUUGAAGGGGAAGCGGUUUCGACCAGACGCGCGCCGGUUGAUCACCCAGCGGUCACGCUGGGGCACUCUGCCGGCGCGGGCCAGCAUCGGCUGGCGGCGGGAUCAAAGGUCCAGGGAACGUAGCUCUUCGGAGUGUUAUAGCCCGGGCGUAAUGUCUCGUCGCCGGCCGAGGAAUCAGCGCCUUCGGGCACGGAUGCUGGCGUAAUGGUCGACACCGACCCGUCUUGAAACACGGACCAAGGAGUUGACCUUGCGUGCGAGUGUAAGGGUGUAAAGCCCUGGCGCGAAAUGAAAGUGAACGUAGGUGGGAGCCCUCUGGGUGCACCACCGACCGAUCCUGAAGUUCUCUGACGGAUUCGAGUACGAGCACGUUGGGUCUGACCCGAAAGAAGCGUGAACUAUGCCUGGAUAGGGUGAAGCCAGAGGAAACUCUGGUGGAGGCUCGCAGCGGUUCUGACGUGCAAAUCGAUCGUCAAAUCUUGGCAUGGGGGCGAAAGACCAAUCGAACCUUCUAGU